RNAcentral lists this ribosomal RNA (396 nucleotides) under uncultured bacterium. Its description in RNAcentral is "partial 16S ribosomal RNA". It matches the Rfam family "Bacterial small subunit ribosomal RNA", at positions 523 to 918 of the family's 1533-position model. The record is from RNAcentral.
AUACGAAGGGUGCAAGCGUUAAUCGGAAAUACUGGGCGUAAAGCGCGCGUAGGCGGUUUUGUAAGUUGGAGGUGAAAGCCCCGGGCUCAACCUGGGAAUUGCCUCCAAAACUGCAUGACUAGAGUACGGUAGAGGGUAGUGGAAUUUCCUGUGUAGCGGUGAAAUGCGUAGAUAUAGGAAGGAACACCAGUGGCGAAGGCGGCGACCGGGCCUGAAGCUGCCACUGAGGUGCGACAGGGUGGGGAGCAAACAGGAUAAAAUACCCUGGUAGGCCACGCCGUAAACGAUGUCAACUAGGCGUUGGGAGCCUUGAGAUCUUAGUGGCGCAGCUAACACAUUAAGUUGACCGCCUGGGGAGUACGGCCGCAAGCGUAAAACUCAAAUGAAUUGACGGGG